UCCUUUUUCUAAAGAAGAUGCCUUGUUUUCUUGUCUGUGUAACAAAAUCCCUGACUGUUUCCUUGAACAGCCCCAGCACUGGGUGCCUGGAGGAAGGGCGGUGAGCUUGGCCAGGACGUGUGGCUGCAUGCUGCUGCUGCCUGCCUGUAGGGCACCCUGUACCCGAGGUCUGAGCACCUGGAAAGUGGCACAUUGCACAUGCCAGGCAGAGCUUUGUUGACACAUUUCUAUUUGUGGAUAUUUCUCUUUCAAGAGCAAUAAUGGAGAUGAGGAACCAUAACAAGAGCCAGCUGCUAUGAGAUUUGGAAAGACACGAAGAUCAAGGACAAGUCAUUCUAUCUCUGUGAACAAAUGAUGAGCAGAGGUAAAUAUGUAAUAACAGAAAUUCAAUUUUUAAAUGAACCAAAUGAUAAAGACAAAAAUACAACUUUA
Molecule: non-coding RNA, 432 nt
Organism: Meleagris gallopavo (turkey)
Lineage: Eukaryota; Metazoa; Chordata; Aves; Galliformes; Phasianidae
Source: RefSeq, a predicted model, not a curated record